This is a long non-coding RNA of Nematostella vectensis (starlet sea anemone), 346 nucleotides long. RefSeq lists it as uncharacterized. Lineage: Eukaryota; Metazoa; Cnidaria; Anthozoa; Actiniaria; Edwardsiidae. The record is from RefSeq and is a predicted model, not a curated record. The transcript has 2 exons.
UCUGAUUAACUAAUCAGAGAUGAGUAUUACUAUGCCCAGUCUCACGCGGACACGCCUCAACUCAGAGUGGGAAAACAAAAUGGCGGUUCCGUCGAAUCGGGAAAAUCAUGUUGAACGCCGCUUUUUAACUCUCUGCUAGCAGUGAUUUCUUCUUAUCUGUUUAAGCAGGGAUUUCACUGACUCAGUGCGUCAUAUAUACCCUAUUUGUGUUGUUUCUCAUCGGCAACAGACCUCAUUUGCAGGGUUAUUUUUACGACUUCAUCGAAUCGUACUGUAAUGAACGCGGAAGGGUUCUAACACCAAGUUAGAGCCAUUGAGGGUGUAUUUCAUUGUGUGUGCAGACAAA